This 1070-nucleotide long non-coding RNA is filed under the name Jatropha curcas. Its description in RNAcentral is "long non-coding RNA (JCUR_LNC002636)". Lineage: Eukaryota; Viridiplantae; Streptophyta; Magnoliopsida; Malpighiales; Euphorbiaceae. The record is from RNAcentral.
UUUUUAGAGUGUAUAUAAUAAGGGAAAAAUUAUAAUUUUGGUACCUAAACUUGUAUUUUUUUACUAUUUUGGUGUCUCGCCGGAAAACUUUAUCAUCGAGUGUCUAUACUUAAAAAAAAAUUUGCAAUUAGGUGGCUUUGACCGAUUUUAAUUGCCGAAUGUUGAGUCAGCAAAUAUGGGGUCUAUUUUUUAAUAGCUGGAAGCUGAUGUGGAUUUAAUUAAAUCCACUUCACGCCAAACAUGUGAUCGAACUAAAAAAAAACUUGAAAACUGGUUUAAACCAUGAUCAAAUCAUUGAAAAAUCAAGGAAACUUUUUAGAAUCAUAAUCGGUCCAAACCACCCUUUGAAUUGGACCAAACCCAUGGCAUAACCAAUAGGAUCAGGAGAGAGAAAACUCAUUUCCCUCCCUAUCUCCUUCUCCCUUCGGCGCCGACAUCUUCUCCACCAUUCCUUUCCGUUUUCCGGCCAAAACUCCAUGGAAACCAAUGCUCUUCGACUCUAGACCCUAGUACUCGAUAAGGGGAGCUCUAUUUUGGCCUUGGAUCGUGUUGAUUAGGCAUUGUACGCGAGAUAUUGAAGCUUGAACGCUGCGUCACCCUAGUAGCUUCGAUUUUCUAGUAAUAAUACACGGUUUCCGGUGGGCUCAGGUGUGGGAUGAGUUUCGAUCUGUUCGAAAUAGCCUCCUGAUAUUUCCCCUUCGAUUUCCAUGCACACCUUCGUUUAGCGAAACCGCCAUGAACAGUGGUACGGGCGUGACUGCCAUGACUGAUUCGAUAGUAGGGGACCAUUAUUUCUUCAAAUUAAUCACAUAUUCGGACUCCCCGAAGGAUUCCGACUGAGUUGGUGUGUCACCCAUCGAGUUCCGGUGCAAAGCGACAUUCCGGCCACUGUCCAUGGCAGUCACGAGCAGAAGAGGAGUUGCACAAGCACUCAACUCUGAUUAUAAUUUUCAAGGCAGGACGAAAGAGGCGAAAGAGUGAUUUUCCAGGCAUUAAUUUUCAAGUCAGCUGCCACAUAUUAGGAAACGGGCCCCCACUUUCGCUGACUAAGCAUUCUGGCAUACAACCAC